GAUGAACGCUGGCGGCGUGCCUAACACAUGCAAGUCGAGCGAAGCACUUUACUUGAUUUCUUCGGAUUGAAGGUAUAGUGACUGAGCGGCGGACGGGUGAGUAACGCGUGGGUAACCUGCCUCAUACGGGGGGAUAACAGUUAGAAAUGACUGCUAAUACCGCAUAAGACCACAGCACCGCAUGGUGCGGGGGUAAAAACUCCGGUGGUAUGAGAUGGACCCGCGUCUGAUUAGCUAGUUGGUAAGGUAAGGGCUUACCAAGGCGACGAUCAGUAGCCGACCUGAGAGGGUGACCGGCCACAUUGGGACUGAGACACGGCCCAAACUCCUACGGGAGGCAGCAGUGGGGAAUAUUGCACAAUGGGGGAAACCCUGAUGCAGCGACGCCGCGUGAGUGAUGAAGUAUUUCGGUAUGUAAAGCUCUAUCAGCAGGGAAGAAAAUGACGGUACCAGACUAAGAAGCACCGGCUAAAUACGUGCCAGCAGCCGCGGUAAUACGUAUGGUGCAAGCGUUAUCCGGAUUUACUGGGUGUAAAGGGAGCGUAGACGGAGAGGCAAGUCUGAUGUGAAAACCCGGGGCUCAACCCCGGGACUGCAUUGGAAACUGUUUUUCUAGAGUGUCGGAGAGGCAAGUGGAAUUCCUAGUGUAGCGGUGAAAUGCGUAGAUAUUAGGAGGAACACCAGUGGCGAAGGCGGCUUGCUGGACGGUGACUGACGUUGAGGCUCGAAAGCGUGGGGAGCAAACAGGAUUAGAUACCCUGGUAGUCCACGCCGUAAACGCUAUGUAGGGGUGUCGGGUGGCAAAACCAUUCGGUCCCGCAGCAAACGCAAUAAGUAGUCCACCUGGGGAGUACGUUCGCAAGAAUGAAACUCAAAAGAAAUUGCGGGGACCCGCACAAGCGGUGGAGCAUGUGGUUAAUUCGAAGCAACGCGAAGAACCUUACCUGCUCUUGACAUCCCCCUGACCGUCCCUUAAUCGGGGCUUUCCUUCGGGACAGGGGAGACAGGUGGUGCGUGGUUGUCGUCAGCUCGUGUCGUGAGAUGUUGGGUUAAGUCCCGCAACGAGCGCAACCCCUAUCUUUAGUAGCCAGCGGCCAGGCCGGGCACUCUAGAGAGACUGCCAGGGAUAACCUGGAGGAAGGUGGGGAUGACGUCAAAUCAUCAUGCCCCUUAUGAGCAGGGCUACACACGUGCUACAAUGGCGUAAACAAAGGGAGGCAGAGCCGCGAGGCCGAGCAAAUCUCAAAAAUAACGUCUCAGUUCGGAUUGUAGUCUGCAACUCGACUACAUGAAGCUGGAAUCGCUAGUAAUCGCGAAUCAGAAUGUCGCGGUGAAUACGUUCCCGGGUCUUGCACACAGCGCCCGUCA
Molecule: ribosomal RNA, 1368 nt
Filed under: uncultured bacterium
Lineage: Bacteria
Description: bacterial SSU rRNA
Rfam family: Bacterial small subunit ribosomal RNA
Source: RNAcentral